Molecule: ribosomal RNA, 717 nt
Filed under: Kudoa quadricornis
Lineage: Eukaryota; Metazoa; Cnidaria; Myxozoa; Multivalvulida; Kudoidae
Description: eukaryotic LSU rRNA
Rfam family: Eukaryotic large subunit ribosomal RNA
Source: RNAcentral
UGUGAUUCCCUUAGUAACUGCGAGUGAAGCGGGAAAAGCCCAUCGUUUAAUCUUCUCGGACUAUGGACGGGACGACAUGUAACGGUAUGGAUAGGUUCUCUACCAACAUUGACUGAUCAAAGUCCUCCGGAUUGAGGUGCCAGAGAGGGUGACAGCCCCGUGUAUGAUUGGGCAAUGUUGGGUAUGUGACCAAUUCCGAGAGUCGGGUUGUUUGGGACUGCAACCUAAAGUAGGUGGUAAACUCCACCCAAGGCUAAAUAUUGACACGAAACCGAUAGCGAACAAGUACUGUGAAGGAAAGUUGAAAAGAACUCUGAAAAGAGAGUUAAAAGUACGUGAAACCGCUAACGGGGAAGCGGAAGGCAGUGUCGAGAUUGAGUAAGUGAGUCAUUGCAAAUGUGCUUUGUGGUGUCGUAUAAGGCGGUGUCCAAUGUGCAUUUAAAGUGGCUAGCUUUGCUUGAUGCGUCAGGACUAUUGGUGUGCGAUGGUUCAAUUGCUGGCAUGGCUUCUACAACACCUAAACUUUUGACAGUUGAGGCUUGUAGUUGCGGCUGGUGAUCCGCCUCGUGUGCUGAUAUGUAUGUGAUGAAGCGUUGGUGAUGUAUGGUCGGUUGGUGAGUUGCGGUGCUUGACACUGGUCACAUUGUGACUACGUGUGAAGAAGUCGUAGCUUAGUUCAACAACCAAUGCUAGCUUCUGACGUGAUACCUAACUUUC